GACGAACGCUGGCGGCGUGCCUAAUACAUGCAAGUAGAACGCUGAAGCUUGGUGCUUGCACCGAGCGGAUGAGUUGCGAACGGGUGAGUAACGCGUAGGUAACCUGCCUGGUAGCGGGGGAUAACUAUUGGAAACGAUAGCUAAUACCGCAUAAUAGUAGAUGUUGCAUGACAUUUGCUUAAAAGGUGCAAUUGCAUCACUACCAGAUGGACCUGCGUUGUAUUAGCUAGUUGGUGAGGUAACGGCUCACCAAGGCAACGAUACAUAGCCGACCUGAGAGGGUGAUCGGCCACACUGGGACUGAGACACGGCCCAGACUCCUACGGGAGGCAGCAGUAGGGAAUCUUCGGCAAUGGACGGAAGUCUGACCGAGCAACGCCGCGUGAGUGAAGAAGGUUUUCGGAUCGGAAAGCUCUGUUGUAAGAGAAGAACGAGUGUGAGAGUGGAAAGUUCACACUGUGACGGUAUCUUACCAGAAAGGGACGGCUAACUACGUG
RNAcentral lists this ribosomal RNA (497 nucleotides) under uncultured bacterium. RNAcentral's name for it is "partial 16S ribosomal RNA". It matches the Rfam family "Bacterial small subunit ribosomal RNA", at positions 28 to 507 of the family's 1533-position model. The record is from RNAcentral.